ACAUUGCAACACUGAACUGUGUCAUACACAGUAUUUUGACCACAGAAAGCGCUUUUUCAAAAAUGGAGUUUGGGAGAAAAAAUCCAAACGGGCUACGUCAGAUAACGUACAGAUCCUGCUGCUGUCCAGUCAUGAACCCGCUGUGAGUGAUGACCCGUCAAUGUGUAAAGACCCGGACGAUAACUUUACUGGAAUUGGAGAGAUUGGUGAAAGUGAAAUGCACUCCGCGGACCAAGAAAAGGAAGUGAUUGAAGAAUUUGAAGAAAUGCACCCAGCGAAUAUCAGUUCAGACAACGACGAAACAGCAGAUGAACAAAGCAUUCAUCUUUUCCUGGACAUCUCCUGUUGUGUGGAUGACUAUGUGGAUGAAGAGGGGUAAAUCCUUGCUGAGGAGCAGAGUGAAGCCUAUCCUCACAUACAAGAUGGGGAGGAGCAUACAAGUGAAAAACCAGAACACUUGUUGAUGAAACUUUUGGCCAUGAUGAAAUUGACUGGUAUACUCCGUGACGACUUCUUACAGUAUGUGGUUUGUCCAAAAUGUAUGACAGUGUACAUGCUUACUGAAACCUAUGAGCUCAGACGGGAUGGUACAAAGGUUUGCAGGACUUGUGGUCACAUCCCAUUCUACAAUCACCCACAGCAGAGGUCUGCAUUAAGGAAGAAAUGUGGCUCUGCCUUGCUAAGAAAAGCUACAUAUUCGAGCGGUGAAGAGUAUGUCCAUCCAAUACGUUCUUACUGUUACAAGAGUGUUGUGCAGUCUCUGGGAGGACUUGUUAAAAGACCUGGAUUUGAAGAGAAAUUAGAAGAAAGGCGAAAGCGGGAAAUGCCAAAGGGUGUGUUAGGAGAUGUAUAUGAUGGACAAGUAUGGCAGGAUUACCAGUAUGUGAAUUCAAUAAACUGUAGUCAUGCCACUAUGUGAUGUAAUUGCACAAGUUUCCUUGCUUCAUCCCCAUCUGGACAGACAUUUUGUUGUUUUGACAUGUUGUUUGAUGUUGUUUGCAUAGAAUGUACAAUUUGAGCCUGAUUAAAACUAUUAAAAUUGUUGAAAUAAA
Molecule: non-coding RNA, 1052 nt
Organism: Misgurnus anguillicaudatus (oriental weatherfish)
Lineage: Eukaryota; Metazoa; Chordata; Actinopteri; Cypriniformes; Cobitidae
Source: RefSeq, a predicted model, not a curated record